Molecule: ribosomal RNA, 253 nt
Filed under: uncultured bacterium
Lineage: Bacteria
Description: partial 16S ribosomal RNA
Rfam family: Bacterial small subunit ribosomal RNA
Source: RNAcentral
UACGAGGGGGGCGAGCGUUGUUCGGAAUUAUUGGGCGUAAAGCGCGCGCAGGCGGUUCUUUAAGUCUGAUGUGAAAGCCCACGGCUCAACCGUGGAGGGUCAUUGGAAACUGGGGAACUUGAGUACAGAAGAGGAAAGCGGAAUUCCACGUGUAGCAGUGAAAUGCGUAGAGAUGUGGAGGAACACCAGUGGCGAAGGCGGCUUUCUGGACCAUAACUGACGCUGAGGCACGAAAGCGUGGGUAGCAAACAGG